This 764-nucleotide long non-coding RNA is filed under the name Homo sapiens (human). Its description in RNAcentral is "non-protein coding PXN-AS1:13". Lineage: Eukaryota; Metazoa; Chordata; Mammalia; Primates; Hominidae. The record is from RNAcentral.
CUCGCGUUGGAGGAGCUUGCUCUGAGCUGCUGCCACCUGCUGGGCUGGAGCUGGAGCUGGAGCUGCGAAUUCGGAGUCCCGGUUCCCUGUGCCACCUGGCGAGCUCAGCAAACUAAAAGUCUCUUUGUCUUCAUCGUUUCCGGCACUGAUGUGAGCACAUCAUAAGCACAAGACCUGGACACCUUUACAAUCAGAGGUAGCAUCUGUCUGGAACUGUAUCUUGACUCUCACUGGUGCUUUUCCUUUGGUUGAUGCAAAGCUUUUGAAUCCUUUAGGGAGAUGUCAUUGGCCUAGGACUGGAGCUCUGGAUCUGACCGGAGCAAAGAGGAAGCACGCAAAUCCGGACAUGACGACGAGGAGGCAGUAGAGACCCAUCCUCAACUACCCCCUGAGUGCCGAUCCCACCUGUGAAAGGGGAGGAGCAGAUCUGGGGAAGGGAUAUGCCCAGAGGAAAUCAACAAGACCAAAGAGACGUCAGAGUCCUGAUGGCCAAAAUCAGACACCAGCUUUCCUGAGAAGGCAGAAGAGAGAGCCCCAUAGAAGCAGUGGGGGCUCAGAAGGUUCAGUGGGUUCACAGGGGAGCAGAGGCUCCUGAGGGCUUACUCAGACAGGAAGCAGCCCCCCAAAACAUACUUCCCCUUCUCCUCCCACAGAAACAGAACAGAUAAAGUUCAGAAUUCUAGGCCCAAAAGGGUGCAACACCCUUCAACCAGUUUCAGUGAAGAGCUUGCUGGCCUGGGAAGUAAAGAAGGGGUUUCCAAAUA